RNAcentral lists this transfer RNA (78 nucleotides) under marine sediment metagenome. RNAcentral describes it as "tRNA-Pro". It matches the Rfam family "tRNA". From Rfam's summary of the family: Transfer RNA (tRNA) molecules are approximately 80 nucleotides in length. The record is from RNAcentral.
CGGAGUAUGGCCUAGUUUGGAUAAGGCGCUACGCUGGGGGCGUAGAGAGCGCUGGUUCAAAUCCAGCUACUCCGACCA